RNAcentral lists this ribosomal RNA (422 nucleotides) under uncultured bacterium. RNAcentral's name for it is "bacterial SSU rRNA". It matches the Rfam family "Bacterial small subunit ribosomal RNA", at positions 29 to 420 of the family's 1533-position model. The record is from RNAcentral.
AUUGAACGCUGGCGGAAUGCUUUACACAUGCAAGUCGAGCGGCAGCGCGGGGGCAACCCUGGCGGCGAGCGGCGAACGGGUGAGUAACAUAUCGGAACGUACCCAGUUGUGGGGGAUAACUACGCGAAAGCGUAGCUAAUACCGCAUACGCCCUGAGGGGGAAAGCGGGGGACCCUAAAUAGAGCGCACUGGGGAGUGCGUUGUAUUUAGGGCCUCGCGCAAUAGGAGCGGCCGAUGUCGGAUUAGCUAGUUGGUGAGGUAAAGGCUUACCAAGGCGACGAUCCGUAGCUGGUCUGAGAGGAUGAUCAGCCACACUGGGACUGAGACACGGCCCAGACUCCUACGGGAGGCAGCAGUGGGGAAUUUUGGACAAUGGGCGAAAGCCUGAUCCAGCCAUGCCGCGUGCGGGAAGAAGGCCUCGG